This 640-nucleotide long non-coding RNA is filed under the name Phoenix dactylifera (date palm). RNAcentral's name for it is "long non-coding RNA (PDAC_LNC004073)". The record is from RNAcentral. Lineage: Eukaryota; Viridiplantae; Streptophyta; Magnoliopsida; Arecales; Arecaceae.
UCAACUUAGAUGGACCAGCUUAAAAAAAAUCAAUAAAAUGAUACUUUAAACUAAUUUAAAACUGAGAACAUAAUAGGAUACUUUCUUAAAGUUAGCUAACAAGCCUCGUCUCAUAUGUAUGGAUUGGCUUUUAAGGGCUAAGGCAUGACCAAUUAAAUUAGUGGGAAGUGCACAAAUGGAACUAGUCUCUAAUGAACGUUCACUAGACAUUUUCACGAGAACUGUGGGGAAUAUACUCAUUGAGGUAUCUUUAGUUUUUACACAAGAUAACAAAUGCUCAAUUAAUUGUAACUAACCAAGGACUUUUCUCCUGUUAAUAGGUGAAGCAUGCUUACUUUUCUAACUAAAUUUUCACUAGCACAGGGAAGAUUAAUAAAAUAUCUGGAUUCAGCAAUAUUUCUACCUUUCCUGAGUGCCGAGAAGAAUGUGAAAUAAAAUAAUGACUUCAUGAACUAACCUGUAUAUAUAUNNNNNNNNNNNNNNNNNNNNAAAAUGCUUAAUUAAUUGUAACUAACCAAGGACUUUUCUCCUGUUUAUAGGUGAAGCAUGCUUACUUUUCUAACUAAAUUUUUCACUAGCACAGGGAAGAUUAAUAAAAUAUCUGGAUUCAGCAAUAUUUCUACCUUUCCUGAGUGCCGAG